RNAcentral lists this microRNA precursor (74 nucleotides) under Bombyx mori (domestic silkworm). RNAcentral describes it as "mir-2807 microRNA precursor family". It matches the Rfam family "mir-2807 microRNA precursor family". Lineage: Eukaryota; Metazoa; Arthropoda; Insecta; Lepidoptera; Bombycidae. The record is from Rfam by way of RNAcentral.
UUAACUCAUAUUUGUAUGGAGUUGGAAUGUUUGCUGCUAGGGGCGCUGUUGCAGUUGCAUACAAAUUUCAGUUA